AUCUUUAGAGGGAGAGGCGUUCUGACUUUGAGUAUUCUCAGCUUUUUUACGCUGGUUUCUUCCCGUCAUUGUAAAUUUAUCCUCCUCUCGUCUUUGAAAUUACCAACUUUCAGGUUAGGUCUCUUGAGUGGGCAUCCAGGUUGUUAGUUCCCAGGGCCAGAAUGGUGGCGUUAAGACUGAUGGUGCUUUUCUUCCCAGGAUUCUCCUGUCUGGCUUCCUUCUUGUGUCUGUAGUAGGCGACUCUGCCUUCCCGGGGCUCCAAACCUCGGUCAGAAGGGGAACCGGUCCCAUUUACUCUGCGCCGAGCGCUGCCGCGCCAAGGUGCCUUCACAGCCGCUGCGCUGGGCUCUGGUGUCCUGCUGGGGGCCCGUGCGGGUCCUCCAAACCUGUUUACUCUGCUCCAAGAGCUGCCGCGCCGAGGUGCCGGCGGAACCGCUGCACCCGCCACGAGAGUCGCGCUGGUGACCCGUGUGUUUCCUCCACUGGGGAUCUUCUGCUCAGUGAGCGACCAGAAUUUGUCUGAAAGUGUGGCAUCCUCUAGUUCUCUGCGCCUUCACUGAGAGCUACAAUCCCGGGAUGUUAGCGAUCGGCCAUCUUGGAUCGUCUCUCCACAAAGCAAAUUUUUAAAAAUAUUUAAUCAAGACUCAGAAAUGUAUGGAUAUUUAUUAUACUCAUAUAAUUUUUAUGACCAUAAAAAUGACCCUGUAGUUAAUAAUAUUGAAAUAACUAAAAGUAUAUAAUGGGAAUCUUUGUAAUACAAAGAUAAAUACAUGCUCCAGGUGAUGAAUACCUUGUUUACUCUGUGAUAAUUAGUGUAUGCCUGUUAAAAUAGCUCAUAAAUGCAUAAGUGUUUUUGCACACUACCUACAAAUUUUUUUUAAAAAAUUAAGGUAAAAAAGAAUACAAAUUUGACCUAUGGGAACAAAUUCAACUUAUUUGCUAUUUAGAACCACUGGCAGGCUAGGUGUGGUUGCUCAUGCCUGUAAUCUCAGCAGUUUUGGAGGCUGAGGCAGGCAGAUCACUUGAAGUCAGAAGUUUGAGACCAGCUGGGCCAACAUGGUGAAACCCUGUCUCUACUAAAAAUGCAAAAAUUAGCUGGGUGUUGUGGUGGGCACUGGUAGUCCCAGCUACUCAGGAGGCAAGAGAAUUGCUUGAACCCAGGAGGCAGAGGUUGCAGUGGCCUGAGAUUGUGCUGUUGCACUCCAGCCUGGGCAACAAAAGAGAAACUCCAUCUCAAAAAACAAAAACCAAAACAAAAAAAACCUGGCAAAAAAGAGAUUACUAGAGAUAUCAUUCUCCUACAUAAACAAAUAACAUAUUGUUACCAUUUAGAACCUUAAGUAAGAUGGGACAGGCUAAAGUUGAUGGCAGAUUAACACUUCUUUCAAAGCACAACAGUUUUAGCACAUUAAAAACAAUUUUGUUUAAUGAAAAAAUUGAGCUCACACAUAAUCUUUAAGAUUUUUUAAAAUUUAUUGCAUUUUAUAACAUAAAGGUAUAAUUGAUUAAAUAAUUGACUAACAUUCAAAAGUUUUCCUCUCGAUAGAAUUCAGAAUUUUACUCUGAACACCUGCCUUUUACAUCACCAAAACAAUGUUAUAAGUCAACCACAAAUAGCCUCUCCAUUUAGAUUUUCAUUAUGCAUCUUACAACUCAGUGUCCUUACUCUUUCAUAGAAAAGUUUAUGAAUAAUGGACACCUAAUAAAAACAAUCUCUCAUAUCUCUGAUGCAACAAUUGAUCAAACACUUUCACAUAAACAAUGAGAAGAAAGAAUCAACAUGAAGUUACUUGAAAGUUGAGUUACAUUAUUAUUUGCUUUUCAGAAAAUCUACUUUUUAAUAGAAAAAGAAGCAUACCUCGAAUGCAAUUAUAAAUCUUCAAAAAAUCUACUUCCUCAUAUCCUCACCAGAAGCAGAUGCUUGCAUAUACUUGUAAGGUCUACUGAACUGUGAACCAAAAAAAUAUAUAUAUUUUUUUAUAAAUUACCCAAUCUCAGGCAAUUUUUUUAUAGCAAUGCAAAAUGAAUUCAUAUACAAUGUGUUCUUCAGGUUUUCUAUUUUUUAAAAUUGAUUUUUUUUGAAUUUUUUAUUAUUUUUUUAAAAUGAGGUCUUAAUAUUUAUAAUUUUAUGUUGCUACUUUAUUUCUUGCUUCAUUUUUGUCAAUAUUUGCUUUAUAUAUUUUGAAGCCCUGAUGUUAUAUGUACAUAUAUUUUAAACAAAUGCUUAGACUAAAAAAAAGCUAAUGAAACUCUUAGAAAAAAAAUAUAGAGGAAAGACAUGAUAUUGGUCUUGGCACCAUUUUCUUAAGCCAUCAAAUGCACAAGCAACGAAAAGAACAGACAAAUUUAAGUGGACUAAACUUCCAAACUUCUGCAAAUAAAACACAUAAUAAAGUGACAGUGCACCCCAAGAAAUGGGUGACAAAAUUUGAAAAUCACAUGUGAUAAGAGUUAAUAUUCAGAAUAUAAAAACAACUCCUAGAACUAGACAACAAUAAUUGAAUUACUUGAUUUAGAAAUAGACAAAUGAGCCAAGUGUGGUGGCUCACACUUGUAAUCCCAGAACUUUGGGAGACCAAGAUGGGCAUAUCACCUGAGGUCAGGAGUUUGAGACCAGCUUGACCAAGAUGGCGAAACGCCACCUCUACUAAAAAUACAAACUUAGCUGGGUAUGGUGUCAUAUCUCUGUAAUCCCAGCUACUCAGAUGGCUGAGGCAGGAGAAUCGUUUGAAUCCAGGAGACAGAGGAGCCUAGAUCGUGCUGUUGCACUCCAUGCUGGGCAACAAGAGCAAAACUCCAUUUCAAAAAAAAAAAAAAGACAAAUGAUUAAACUAAAUUUUAAUUUAAAAAAGAUACCCAAAUGGCAAGAAGCAUUUGAAAAGCUGCACAAAAUUAAUAAUAUAUAGAAAAAUGAAAAAAUCACAUUAGAAAACAAAAUUACCUUACAUCGAUUAGAAUGGCCACUACAAAAACAAACCUGCAUGAUCUGCACAUGUACCCCAGAACUUAAAGUAUAAUAAAAAAGGCAAAAAAAGACGAAAAUCAGAAAAACCCCACCAUGUUGAUGAUGUAAAGAAAUUGAAACCUAUGUAAGUUGUUGAUGAUAAAAAUGCAGCAAUUAUAAAAAAUAACAUGUUCAUCCUCUAAUUGGGACUCCGAGCCGGGGCUAUUUCUGGCGCUGGCGCGGCUCCAAGAAGGCAUCCGCAUUUGCUGCCAGCGGCGGCCGCGGCGGAGCCAGGCCGGUCCUCAGCUCCCAGCACCGCCGCUCCCGGGAACCCAGAGUGUGCACCGCAGGCCGGCGGCCGAGCUCGCGCAUCCCAGCCAUCACUCUUCCACCUGCUCCUUAGAAAAGGGAAGAUGAGCGAAUGGAGCUCAAAGUCCAGCCAGACCUUGGCCUCCAAGCAGGAAAAGGACGGCACUGAGAAGCGUGGCUGGGGCCUCUGGUGAGUCCCGGGACAGCGCUGGUAGGGAGUCAGAAGGAGCCUAGUGAAGUGCCAACGCCGAAGAGACCUCGGGGCCGACCAAAGGGAAGCAAAAACAAGGGCGCUGCCAGGACCGGAAAACCACCACAACUCCAGGAAGGAAACCAAGGGGCAGACCCAAAAAACUGGAGAAGGAGGAAGAGGAGGACAUCUCGCAGGAGUCCUUGGAGGAGGAGCAGUGACCGUGCGUGCAGCCUGUUCCUCACUGGAGGAGCAGCUUCCUUCUGGGACUUGACACCUUUGCUCCGCUCCCACCGCCCCCGCCCCUUCCCCAGGCCCACCAUCACCACCGCCUCCGGCCGCCAUCCCCAUCUUCCACCUGUACCUUCACCAUCACACUACACAGCACACCAGCUGUUACAGGGCCCCCAUGGGCUGAGUGGGGAGCAGUUUUUCCCUGGCCUCAGUUCCCAGCCCCCCCGCCCACCCAUGCAUACACACAUGCGCUCCUGGACAAGGCUAACAUCCCACUUAGCUGCACCCUGCACCUGCUGUGUCCCCACUCCCUUGGUGAUGGAGACAUUGCUCUCUGGGCUUUUGGUUUGGGGGCGCCCUCUCUGUUCCUCUACUGUUCUCUCUGGCUUCCCAUAGUGGGCUCUGGGAGGGUUCCCCUGGCCUUAAAAGGGGCCCAAGCCCCAUCUCAUCCUGGCAUGCCCUACUCCACAGCCCUGGCAGCAGCAGAUGUGGCCAAUGGAGGGGGGUGCUGGCCCCCAGAAUUCCCUCAGCCAAACUGUCUUUUUCACCACAUAGGGCUCACACCUUUCAUCUUUCCCCACCUUCCCUAGUCCCUCCACUAGGUUGGACAGCCCCGUUUGGCUGCAGGAAGACAGGAGGGGUACGAGUCUCCUACACCCUUUUCACUGUGGUCCCAGUCCCCUGGCCCUCCGCCUGGGAUCUGAGUAUAUAUUGUGGUGAUGGAGAUGCAGUCAUUUAUUGUCCAGGUGAGGCCUGUGAGCCCUGUGGCUACCACCUGAGAUGGGCUGGAGCUGUUCCCCCCACCCUACUUUACUUCUGCCUCUCAGCCAUUUCCCCCUCCUCAGAUGGGGCACCAAUAACAAGGAGCCCAACCCUCUCACUCCUCCCUGUCCCCCAAGGUUCUAGUUCCAUUUUUCCUCUGUUCACAAACGACCUCUGGACAGUUGUGUUGUUUUUUGUUCAAUGUUCCAUUCUCUGACCUCCAUCAUUGCUGCUGCUAACAGCGCCAAAUGUUCAUCCUCAAUGCCUCCUGUUCUGCCCACGAUACCAUACCCCAAGAUACUCUUCAUGGGGAAGAGGGGCUGGGGCAUGGCAGGCUGGGUGACUGACUACCCCAGUCCCAGGGAUGGUGGGGCCCUGCCCCUUGGAUGCUACAGCAGAGUGAGCAAGGGGGCCCGAAUCCACCACAAAAGGUGUAGGGGCCACCUCCUCCCCUUGUUCUUUUGGGGAAGGGUAGCCAUGAUUUGUCCCAGCCUGGGGCUCCCCCUCUGGUUUCCUAUUUGCAGUUACUUGAAUAAAAAAAUAUCUUUUUCUGGAAAAAAAAAAA
This is a non-coding RNA of Callithrix jacchus (white-tufted-ear marmoset), 5004 nucleotides long. Lineage: Eukaryota; Metazoa; Chordata; Mammalia; Primates; Cebidae. The record is from RefSeq and is a predicted model, not a curated record.